RNAcentral lists this ribosomal RNA (490 nucleotides) under uncultured bacterium. RNAcentral's name for it is "partial 16S ribosomal RNA". It matches the Rfam family "Bacterial small subunit ribosomal RNA", at positions 30 to 507 of the family's 1533-position model. The record is from RNAcentral.
AUUGAACGCUGGCGGCAUGCCCUACACAUGCAAGUCGAACGGCAGCAUGAUCUAGCUUGCUAGAUUGAUGGCGAGUGGCGAACGGGUGAGUAAUACAUCGGAACGUGCCCUGUAGUGGGGGAUAACUAGUCGAAAGAUUAGCUAAUACCGCAUACGACCUGAGGGUGAAAGUGGGGGACCGCAAGGCCUCAUGCUAUAGGAGCGGCCGAUGUCUGAUUAGCUAGUUGGUGAGGUAAAGGCUCACCAAGGCGACGAUCAGUAGCUGGUCUGAGAGGACGAUCAGCCACACUGGGACUGAGACACGGCCCAGACUCCUACGGGAGGCAGCAGUGGGGAAUUUUGGACAAUGGGCGAAAGCCUGAUCCAGCAAUGCCGCGUGUGUGAAGAAGGCCUUCGGGUUGUAAAGCACUUUUGUCCGGAAAGAAAUGGCUCUGGUUAAUACCUGGGGUCGAUGACGGUACCGGAAGAAUAAGGACCGGCUAACUACGUG